This 253-nucleotide ribosomal RNA is filed under the name uncultured bacterium. RNAcentral describes it as "partial 16S ribosomal RNA". It matches the Rfam family "Bacterial small subunit ribosomal RNA", at positions 524 to 776 of the family's 1533-position model. The record is from RNAcentral.
UACGUAGGGAGCAAGCGUUGUCCGGAAUCAUUGGGCGUAAAGCGCGCGUAGGCGGCCUCAUAAGUCCGUUGUGAAAGUCAAAGGCUCAACCUUUGAAAGCCGAUGGAUACUGUGAGGCUAGAGUCCGGAAGAGGCGAGUGGAAUUCCUGGUGUAGCGGUGAAAUGCGCAGAUAUCAGGAGGAACACCAGCGGCGAAGGCGGCGCUCUGGGCCGGAACUGACGCUGAGGAGCGAAAGCGUGGGGAGCAAACAGG